This 67-nucleotide transfer RNA is filed under the name Schistosoma mansoni. The record is from RNAcentral. Lineage: Eukaryota; Metazoa; Platyhelminthes; Trematoda; Strigeidida; Schistosomatidae.
GAAUUCAGGUGCAUCUGACUAACGGGUCAAAAAAUAAGAAGAACGCGUGCCCUGUAUUCAACUCAUA